CGUAGUAGUUUGAUGUAAUAAUAUUUUCAUCCUUCUGUAACUUGUGGGCUUCAGGUUUCAAGUCUAAUCAACAUGUUGCUCAUAACAAUUUGUUUGAUGUUAAUUGACAUCUCUUACAUUUACCUUAUGAUACGUAUAAAACUAGAGACACUGAUAUUCUGCAGCACUAAUAUUCCAUCUUUUACAUAAUGCGAAGACAUUGGACAUUGUUGCUGAGAAUCCUGAUAAGUUCAGAGUUGUUGCUCUUGCUGCUGGAUCCAAUGUCACGCUUCUAGCUGAUCAGGUACAGUGAUGUUUUGAGUAGAUUCUUUUCCUUUCGCCCUUUUGUCAAUCUUGAAAGAGAAUUUUGCACUCAUUUGAUCAUUAAGCUUGUAAUACAAACUAUGCACUCAUUUGAGCAUUGUGGAUGUAAUUUACUACAGGUCAAAACAUUCAAACCUAAGUUGGUUGCUGUAAGAAACGAAGCAUUAGUUGAUGAACUAAAAGAAGCCUUAGCUGAUUGCGAAGAGAAGCCAGAAAUUAUUCCUGGGGAGCAAGGAGUCAUAGAAGUAAGGCUUUUCUUAUGAUCCUAUUUCUGCGAAUAACUAAAGGUUUGCUCUGAAAAUUUCUCAAAUAUUCAACUUUUGAGUAAUAGGUCGCUCGACACCCAGAUGCAGUUACAGUUGUCACAGGGAUAGUAGGGUGUGCAGGGCUGAAGGUAAUGCCCCUUCUAUUUAGCAUAUUGCUCUUUGUGCUUUCCUUUAUGUUGGGUGUUCCAAGAAUCUAAUGCUUGUGUAUAAAUGAUAUUUAUAUGCCUAUAUGUAAUAUUUUCCUGUUGUUAGGUCAUAAAUUUAUCUGCACUAAGCUGUGGUUCUAGGAAUCUUUUUUUAAGAAAACAGAAAGCUGUCGUUCUGAAUUCUGAUGUCAUUUGGCUGCAUAAAUCUUUCCUUGUGAACAUGCUUGUAUUUCAUGAAUCAUGGCAAAUAUAUAGUAAGAAAAAUUGUCUAUGAAUUUUAACUAUUUUGGGUUGCUAUAUUUAUACAGUUAGAAUGUGUUAAAAAGGAGUUCAGGUAAUUUUGCCACAAUAAUAUGUAUAGAAUGAAGAUAAAUCUUUACUUCAUUUCCAGACAUAGAUAGGCAUCUCCAAUUCGAAUUUGAUGCAAAAAAAAGCAAUUGGUAGUGGUAUAUAUGUCAUUGUCCUAUUGCCUGCCAUAGUGCCAUAUUUUGUAUCUUCUAAGAACCGAGUUCCAUGGCCCCCUAUUUUUAUAUAGUGCAGUAUCAGCCUAUCAAGAUAAGUGGAGGACCAUCAUCACUAGGUGGUGAUACUUUUAGAUUGCCAAGUAUUUUAAUAUUAUCUUUUUUAUUUCCAUAUUAAUUUGAACUUUAUGUAAAUGGGUGCAGUAUGGUGCACCCAAAUAAAUGAGCAAUUUUAUCAGUGAAUAUAGCUGACUUGGUAACUCUGUAUUGUUCUGUUAGCCUACAGUUGCUGCAAUCGAAGCUGGUAAAGACAUAGCAUUGGCAAACAAGGAGACACUUAUUGCAGGUGGUCCUUUUGUGCUUCCCCUUGCACACAAACACAAUGUGAAAAUUCUUCCUGCUGAUUCUGAGCACUCUGCAAUAUUUCAGGUAUCUCACAAAAUGUUUACUUGUUGCUGCAGCUAUCUUUUUUAUCAUUAUGCAUGUUUGCUGUAAGGUUGGGAAAGAUACAUACUGGCUUUGGGGAGAAAAUGGCAAUUUGACCAUCCUCAAAACUGGUGUUUAAACGAAAUAACAAUACUGAACUUGAAAUAAUGUGGCAAUGCAUUUUAUGUUUUCUGGCAUUCUUUGCUUAUUAGAGUCUGCUUCCCUUGUACCAGUGUAUACAAGGCUUGUCCAAAGGAGCACUUCGUCGCAUUAUUCUAACUGCAUCAGGUGGUGCUUUCAGGCAAGUCCAUCCCUUAUGUGUUAUAUGUACUUCUGGAAACAUACAAAUCCAUCUCAUAUCAUUUGAUCAUGACAGGGACUGGCCAGUUGACAGGCUGAAAGAUGUAAAAGUUGCUGACGCUUUAAAGCAUCCAAACUGGAAUAUGGGAAAGAAGAUCACAGUAGAUUCUGCUACUUUAUUCAACAAGGUGUCUUAGAGCUCCAUUUUGUUUAAAAAAAAUUAUUUAAUCCAUAUUUCAUUAUAUUAAACGCUAAAGUGACGAUUUGGUCUUGUAGGGUUUAGAAGUUAUUGAAGCGCAUUAUUUAUUUGGUGCUGAAUAUGAUGACAUUGAGAUUGUGAUCCACCCACAGUCUAUCAUACACUCUAUGGUUGAAACCCAGGUGAGCCCAAGGUCAUAUGCUUUACUAAAAAGCACAUGUUGAGAUAUUCUGCCCAGAUGUAGUGCUAAUCCUCCUAUGCUGCAUAUUUUCAUUUCCACCUCAUUCUCUUGUAUUAGUGCAUGCCAGCAUCUGAGCAGAUCUCAAGUUUAUGAUUGUUUCAGGUCGUUAUGCUACAUGCAGAAUUGUUUCUGUAAUGGCUUUACAUAUGGUUUAGUAUUGUCUUUAGCAUUCAUGUUCUUUUUUCCCAGGAUUCAUCUGUCCUAGCUCAAUUGGGUUGGCCGGAUAUGCGGAUACCAAUCUUAUACACCUUAUCGUGGCCAGAUAGAAUCUAUUGCUCUGAGGUCACAUGGCCCCGCCUUGAUCUUUGCAAGUAUGACAUCUUCACAACUCCUGUCUACUUUUGCAGUACAGCUGAUGCUUUUAUUUGGAAAUAACCUCCAAGGAUUCAAGUCUUAUUUUUCUUGAUUACAGUAUGGGAUUGUUCUAAUAAGCUACUGGUAUAUGAUGGCAAUACUUGAUAGAUCUGUAUGGGUCAGGGGCACCUGAGUCAGCUGUUGGUGUGUGCAUUUGUGAACGAAUCUGACUUGGGUUUUGAACCAGCAAAUAUGACAACCAUCUCAUAAUUUUUAGGAAACAAAUUUGUGACUGUACUUCAACUGAAUUUUCCGAACAGCUCAUCAAGCUUGGACCUUGACCUAAACUCAUUGCAAUUCUGGUGUCUUUUUGAAUAGUUAUAUGUAUGACUUGAGUUGGUUGACUAGCCCACUUCUAGUUUAGUAAUAACCAAGUAGUAACCAUGGUUAGGUUGCUAAACAUGAACAUGCUUCAUUAAGGAUGUUAAGAAAACAAAAACAUGUUAUGAAACUAAACUUCACACGAUCUCUUAAAUAGUAAGCAUUCCAUGUUAACAGUUUUUGAGCAUUCAGAUUUAAGUUCCAAUUGGUUAAUACAGGUUGGGUUCACUGACGUUCAAAGCUCCUGACAAUGUAAAAUACCCAUCAAUGGACCUAGCGUAUGCAGCUGGGCGGGCUGGGGGCACCAUGACAGGAGUUCUGAGUGCUGCUAAUGAGAAGGCCGUGGAGUUGUUCAUUGAUGAAAAGUACGAUUCUUUUUGCUUAUCAGCUUUUGCCUGCUUUAUUCUAGAUAGAUCAUUGCAUAUUUUAUGUCAUCUUUUGAUUUGGUUUGUGAAAUAUUCUGAAAAUUUUAAGGCCAGAUACGUUAUGCUAAUUGCUGCAAUGAAAAAAAAACUUUGGGCUAACCAAAGUCCAUGGACAUCUACUGCACUUUACUUUAGAAAAGUGAGUUGGGACGAGAAUGUUUGUCCUUAGAGAUAUUAUUCUCAAGCACCUUUUGAGCCUACAUUAUGGAUUAGAAUAGCUAUAGAAUCUUGAUUUAAACUAUCUUUCCAUGUUUAAAUACAAGUUAAAUAUGCUGAGGGUCCUAAAGCUUUUCCUGGAUUCUCAUCUAGGUCCAUGAACUCUCAAAGGGAAGGUUUGAGUGAAUGCACUACCAAGAGAGAACCUAGAGUGAACCUGGUGUGAACCCGAUCCUCACUUUGAGAGUUUAUUAUAGGCCUACGUGAGGAUCAGGGAAAAGUUUAGGGCACUGGUGCUUUUCACUCUUUUAAGUACUUUAUCUUAACAAUGGUCUGCCUGCCAAUAUGAUGGUUUGGUUAUUGGGAUAGUGUCGGUCAUAGACAAGGGUUUUUCUCUGCAUGAGAAGAUAUUGAUUUAUACACUCAACUUGUCGAGGUAAAGCACCAUGCUCCAGAAUUUGAUAGAGAAAACUUCAUCAUGGCACAAGCAUAUGCUUUACACAAUUAGUUCAACUAGGAGGAAGGUCUGCAACUACAGCCAGUUGUUCAUCAGAGGGAAAGAAAGAACUAAUUUGCAAUCAUCCGUUAUAUAUUGAUAUUCAUACAAAGGAAGUCAGUUGACCUUUUAGUUUGGUUUACAGGAUUAGCUACCUGGACAUAUUCAAGGUGGUGGAACUUACAUGUGACGCGCAUCGGAACGAGCUGGUAAGAAGUCCUUCACUCGAGGAGAUCAUCCAUUAUGAUCUGUGGGCGAGGAGAUAUGCAGCUAGCCUACAACCAUCUUCUGGCCUGAGCCCUGUCCCU
Molecule: long non-coding RNA, 4402 nt
Filed under: Sorghum bicolor (sorghum)
Lineage: Eukaryota; Viridiplantae; Streptophyta; Magnoliopsida; Poales; Poaceae
Description: long non-coding RNA (SBIC_LNC004159)
Source: RNAcentral